AUGUCUAGUCGAAGGUCAAGACAACAAUCAGGAGGGUCUACAAGAAUCUCUGAUGACCAAAUUAUCGAACUUGUUUGCAAGUUGCGUCAACUUGUUCCUGAGAUUCGUAAUAGGCGUUCUGACAAGGUACCAGCUUCCACGGUCCUACAAGAAACCUGCAACUAUAUCAGAAACUUACAAAGAGAAGUUGAUGAUUUAAGCCUCAGAUUGUCUCAGUUGUUGUCCACAAUUGAUGCUGAUAGUCCUGAAGCUUCUAUCAUUAGGAGCCUGCUUAACCAAUGA
Non-coding RNA from Vicia faba (fava bean), 282 nucleotides. The record is from the annotation of a GenBank genome assembly. Lineage: Eukaryota; Viridiplantae; Streptophyta; Magnoliopsida; Fabales; Fabaceae.